Molecule: long non-coding RNA, 674 nt
Filed under: Homo sapiens (human)
Lineage: Eukaryota; Metazoa; Chordata; Mammalia; Primates; Hominidae
Description: HSALNT0309840
Source: RNAcentral
UGGGGUGUGUGUUGGGUGUUGCGUAUGUACAUUAUGUAUGUAUUGGGAUGUGUGUUGGGUAUAUGUGUGUGUUGGGCAUGUGUGUAUUGGGGCUGUGUAUUUGUGUGUUGGGCGUGUGUUGUGUGUAUUGGGGGUGUAUAUGUGUGUGUUGUGUAUGUUUGUGUGUGUGUUGGGUGUGUGUAUAUGUCAGGUGUGUGUGUUGGGUAUAUGUGUGUGUUGGGGUGUGUGUGUUGGUGUUGUGUGUGUUGGGUGUGUGUUUUGUGUAUUGGGUGUGUUGUGUUGGGUGUGUUGAGUGUGUAUUGGGGGUGUGCAUGUGUGUGUUGCGUGUUGGGUAUGUGUAUGUGUGUUGGGUUUGUGUGUGUGUUGGGUAUGUGUUGUGUGUGUGUUCAGUGUGUGUGUUGGGUAUGUGUGUGUGUUGGGGUGUGUGUGUUGGGUGUGUGUUGGGGUGUGUGUGUUGGGUGUGUGUUGGGGGUGUGUGUUGGGUGUGUGUGUGUUGUGUGCGUGUGUUGGGGGUGUGCGUGUGUUGGGGGUGUGUGUGCUGGGGGUGUGUGUGUUGGGUGUGUGUGUGUGUUGGGUGUGUUUGUGUGUGUGUUGUGGGGGUGUGAGCACAGAGCUUAUCUGCCCUCCCUGGGCAUGCUGCCCUCCAGCAGCUUGCACAUGUUCAGGUAUCUGCA